Molecule: long non-coding RNA, 2622 nt
Organism: Oxyura jamaicensis (ruddy duck)
Lineage: Eukaryota; Metazoa; Chordata; Aves; Anseriformes; Anatidae
Exons: 2
Source: RefSeq, a predicted model, not a curated record
AAUAGUUGUUUUAGCGAAGAAUCAAUAUAUAUAUAUUUUGAUAAAUACAAGCCUUAUUUCCUCAUCCCCAAUAUCAAAUUAUAAAUAUGACCCAUUUAAGACAUGCUUUGAGCUUGUGGGGAUUUGCCAUACAAUGAUUGUUGUACCCUGAAACCCUCCAUAUGUCGAAUCUUUGGUUUCCUUGCAUUUUUUUGAAUAAAAAUCUGAAAUCCCUCUUUGUGCAGUAAGGCUUAUUUAAUUGAAACAAUAAAUGUUUAGGUUACUGUGGAAAAUACACAUCAUAACACAUGCAGGAAAGCAUGCAGACAAAACAAUAUCCAGUAAUUUCAUUCUACCCUCAAAAAGAAGAAAUAGGUCAUUGCACAUAGUAAAAGCAGCAGAUUUAAUGUUACUCUCUGUCAGGGAGGUGCAUAAGAUGCAAACUAUUUUUUCUUAUUUGUUGGUAUUUGUUUCAAAAGGAUAGCUUUUCUUAGUGAUACAAAUCUGUUCCAGAAAAAAAAAAAAAAGGCUAGGCCUCAGCCUAGCUGAACUUGCAGGCGCUUAGUAGGAAUAUAUAUAAUGAACAGUAUCCAACAAUUAUACAUUUGCUUCAGUGCUAAUUGUGUUUAUAUUUUUACUGGGUAAAGCCCACUUGUUAUACACUGACAUACUUCUGCUGACAAGUGUAUAAAUUUAAGGAUGGAACAUGUUAUGCUUCUAAACAUUCUCUAAAUAUGGUUUUCCCUGAGAAUGUCUUAGUGUCUCAGAAACAGCAGGAGAAAGAAAAUUCUUUUUUACAGAAAAGUAGGUAAAGCAGGCAGAAUUAAAUUAGAUGCUCUGUUGUCCUGGAGCAUUCUUUAUUGAAGAUGCAGCUGUCAGUGAAUACACAUAUUGACAUAAGUAUGAUAUAUUUUGAGUGCUACUAGUAUGCAAUACUACCAUAGCCAAAAAUAUGUUAAUUUGCACAGGGCAAUACCUUGUCUGAAGUAGUGUUGAAUACGGUGUACAAUGAGUACAAAUUUUCCAAAGUUUGAGUUUCUUAAGGACAUACUGAGAUUGGGUUAAAUUAAUUGCAUUAAUUAUGUUAUACUUGUCUGGGUCUCUGGAGUUGUUUUCACAUGGGGGAGGAGGGAUGAAGUAAAGGAUGUUUAAAAUAAGAAAAUAUGUAGUCUGUUGUAAAGGCUUUUUUCUUUUUGGCUCCUUGUUUUAUAUCAUUCCCAUCUGCAAAAAUAAACUUGCAAAUUCUGGAGUUUUUGUCUAUUCUGGAACCUACUUUCAUCAAAGCGCUUUGCUCAUCUGUAUAUAAAUGAAUAGUUGGGGGUGGGGAAUUAAAAGGGAAAUGAUUCACUUAAGCUGUGAAUAGAAAUCAUGUUAAAAUACAUUCUGUUCACACAACUGUGGUAUAUUGGAUAAGGCAACUGUUUUCCUACCAACACUAAGGUGACAAUCAGCCCACAUUUUGAGAUGGCAUGCAGGCUGUUAUGUGCAAUAUAUGCCUAUCUAUGGAACAAAAGAUUAUUUUAAGUUUUGUUAAGCAUAAAAUAGCCUCUGAUUUUUACCAGCAGAUGGUUCUAUAAAUCUAGCAAGGUCCCUCUAGCAGUCAGUGAAAUCAGUUUUGUAAAGCCAGCCUCCAGGCCAGAACAUAAAAUACAAGUUAGGACUAUCUCAGUGGAGAAAAUAAAAUGAAAUUACCCAACUGUUUAGUGGGGUGGGUACACACCUGUUGUUUUUGCAGUAUGAUAUAAAUCAAAAUCUGACUUGGCUGUUUUUGAGAAGUUUUGUAUUUGUUAUGAAAAUACCUAAUUCCACCUGUUUGUGACUGUUGAUGAGAAUUUCAAUGUAAGAAAGACUAGGUUUUGCUCCAACUUAAAAAGUUGCUUAAGAUGUGAUACUUGGCAGAAUCUCUUCACCUACUGCCACCUUGUUAUUUUUCUUUCUUUCUUUCUCUCACUUUUGACACAGUAACAGUGAAUGUAAUAUGAAGUCAGAUCAUUGACACACUUUCCUUGCAGCAGUGGACACACUUAUAUUUGGCAUAGUUCCUUUAUUUAUUCCAAGUGUCUCUUCAGCCAUUCUAAUUUGCAGAAUCCUGCUACAUUCCACCUGAAAUCUGGUCAUGGUGUGUAUGGCUAAAGAGAGGGGAGAGACACUGUGUCUAGUAGCCUCAGAGCACCUUCAUAAAAAAUAAUUUAGUUAAUAUCAUUGAUUGGGGCAGGACAUAUUAAUAAAAAUAUUUUUAAAUAUUUGUUUUUUGUUUUUAUUGCAAAUACAUAUUCACUCUGAUACCUCAUUAAACAGUAUUGGUUGAGGAUGCUAUCUGCAAAGAUACAAAAAUAUUCUUUUCAAAUGUUUAAUGUAGAAUGAUACUGUGAAUCAUUGAGUGUUACAUGAAAUUGAAUUUAGUCUGCUUUUCUGGCAAAUUCUCUGUAGCACUUCUGAAUGAUUCCCUCUGUAGAUGUUUCCAUGAGGCUUCCUGAUGUUUCCUUCUGUACGCAUUGCAUUAAAACAAACAAAACAACAACAACAACAACAAAAAAUCAGAGCAGGUAGCAUUUACUCAUCCUGGAGUUUCUGGAUUAAUUUUGUUAACACUAAUGUUCUUGUCUGUCUACUUUCAUAGCUUACCUGUGUGGGAAGAAGUUA